Molecule: ribosomal RNA, 344 nt
Filed under: Tegonotus celtis
Lineage: Eukaryota; Metazoa; Arthropoda; Arachnida; Trombidiformes; Eriophyidae
Description: partial 16S ribosomal RNA
Rfam family: Bacterial large subunit ribosomal RNA (bases 107-344)
Source: RNAcentral
GUAAUCAAAAGCUUGUUAAUUGUAAGCCCGUAUGAAAGAAAAUUUCCAAGGUAAAUAUCUUUACCUCUUGGAGAAAUUAAAAAGAAUUAAAAAAAUUCUUGUGCUCGUAAGACGAGAAGACCCUAUAAGCUUUCUUGUUUAAAAAGUUACUUGGGGAAAGUAAAUUAAAUCUUUCUAAUUAAUUAAAAAUUUAAUAACUACCGAAAUAAGCUACUUUAGGGAUAACAGAGCAAUUCUUGUAAAGAGUACCUAUUCUCACAAGAGUUUGCGACCUCGAUGUUGGAUUCUUUGGUCUAAGGGCCGCAGAAGACUCUAAAGAUAUACUGUUCGUAUUUUCAAAAAAG